GUAGAUAGAGGUCGCGUAUUUCAUGAGUAGGCAGUCUGAUAUGGCAGAGAUAGAGGAGGACUGGGGAAAGGGAAAAACGCCGAAGGUAGAGGGAUUCUGCUUCCUGAAGCCUGGGCACAUCGAUGAAGAAUCGUGUGACUGUCAUCAAAAUUGUGAUGGAGAGCUAUCU
RNAcentral lists this non-coding RNA (169 nucleotides) under uncultured Robinsoniella sp. Its description in RNAcentral is "Lysine riboswitch". It matches the Rfam family "Lysine riboswitch aptamer". From Rfam's summary of the family: Riboswitches are metabolite binding domains within certain messenger RNAs that serve as precision sensors for their corresponding targets. The record is from RNAcentral. Lineage: Bacteria; Bacillati; Bacillota; Clostridia; Lachnospirales; Lachnospiraceae.